UCACAUCUUACGAUGGCAGUCUGGCCAGAGUCCUCAGCUUAACCUGUUAGUAACUGACCACGAGGGUUGCGCUCGUUAUGGCACUUAAGCCGACACCUCACGGCACGAGCUGACGACAACCAUGCAGCACCUUCACAGACGCCUUGCGGCUUACAAGUUUCCUCGUAAUUCGUCUGCAAUUUAAGCCCGGGUAAGGUUCCUCGCGUAUCAUCGAAUUAAACCACAUGUUCCUCCGCUUGUGCGGGCCCCCGUCAAUUCCUUUGAGUUUCACCGUUGCCGGCGUACUCCCCAGGUGGGAUACUUAAUGCUUUCGCUUGGCCGCUGACAGUAUAUCGCCAACAGCGAGUAUCCAUCGUUUACCGUGUGGACUAC
RNAcentral lists this unclassified non-coding RNA (372 nucleotides) under uncultured Bacteroidaceae bacterium. RNAcentral's name for it is "contains 16S-23S intergenic spacer region". Lineage: Bacteria; Pseudomonadati; Bacteroidota; Bacteroidia; Bacteroidales; Bacteroidaceae. The record is from RNAcentral.